RNAcentral lists this ribosomal RNA (467 nucleotides) under uncultured bacterium. Its description in RNAcentral is "partial 16S ribosomal RNA". It matches the Rfam family "Bacterial small subunit ribosomal RNA", at positions 28 to 507 of the family's 1533-position model. The record is from RNAcentral.
GAUGAACGCUGGCGGCGUGCUUAACACAUGCAAGUCGAACGGUGAAGGCGGAGCUUGCUCUGCUGGAUCAGUGGCGAACGGGUGAGUAACACGUGAGCAAUCUGCCCCUGACUCUGGGAUAAGCGCUGGAAACGGCGUCUAAUACUGGAUACGAGCUGCGAAGGCAUCUUCAGCAGCUGGAAAGAAUUUCGGUCAGGGAUGAGCUCGCGGCCUAUCAGCUUGUUGGUGAGGUAAUGGCUCACCAAGGCGUCGACGGGUAACCGGCCUGAGAGGGUGACCGGCCACACUGGGACUGAGACACGGCCCAGACUCCUACGGGAGGCAGCAGUGGGGAAUAUUGAACAAUGGGCGAAAGCCUGAUGCAGCAACGCCGCGUGGGGGACGACGGCCUUCGGGUUGUAAACCUCUUUAGCAGGGAAGAAGCGAAAGUGACGGUACCUGCAGAAAAAGCGCCGGCUAACUACGUG